This 2067-nucleotide long non-coding RNA is filed under the name Pan troglodytes (chimpanzee). RNAcentral describes it as "long non-coding RNA NONPTRT009646". Lineage: Eukaryota; Metazoa; Chordata; Mammalia; Primates; Hominidae. The record is from RNAcentral.
UAGAAGGGCCCAGAGUAGACGCAGCAUGCCACUCACAACAGGAAAAGGUGGAAACAGGCCAAACGUCCAGUCGUGGAUGAAAGGUUGGACAGAAUGAGUUCUCUCUACAGGGCGGGAAGUCCUGACAUAAAAGCUAGUGAAGUGCUGAUACGUGCUACAACUUGCAUGGAGCCUGAAUCAUUAAGUGCAACAGGCCAGUCACAAAAAGAUUAGACGCAGUGAAGGGGCUAUCACAAUCUUCCAGGUGGAAUCCCCCAUUGCUGGACAUAGCUGGUAAGUCAUGGUGAAGACACGUCUCAGCACUGGGCGCGCACACGACACCUUUCAAGACAACGUACUUUUACUGCUGCACUCGGGGACAGCCCCUCAGAACCCAGAGUUCAUCAACUCCACGGACUCUUGGGGUAGUGCACAAGGUCCCAAGCUCACCUCCGGGGUCUUUCUCAUGAGACCACAGCAGCAUGGACUGCGGUUCAAACAGAAGGCUCUUCCCAACCUGACUGUAAAGCUGCACCUGCAUGAAGUUCAGGUCUGGAGAUGCCAGCUCACACGUGGCAUCUAAAUGCUGUGCUCGGAACUCCGAAGAGGGGACCCCCACCCACCCAGUAUUUACGCUGGGUCUGUAACUUACACAGAAGGGCUUGUUGCUUGACAAUUUAGAUAAAAAUGUUACUGCCUCUGCAUGUGCUGCAAUCUCACGGUGUAAACCACUGGAGCAGCUAAUGGAGUCUUCACACAUCAUAUCUUGUUAAAGAAGAGGGCCCUCCGCUAUCGGAUUCACAGCCCAGCAGCAAAGUGCAGCCACACCUGGGAAGGCAGCUUAGCUGGCCUGGGCCUGGCCACAACUCAUCAGCUCUGACCAACUAUCCUAUGCCUCAUUUUUUUUUUUAGUGGAAAAUAUGAACUUCAUUUUCAAAUAGCAAGGUCCCUAGUCCCCCAAUGGUAGGACAAAAACUAGACAGUUACACAGAAAACAUAUCUCUAUCUACCCUGACCAAUAAGCUAUCUACCACUAUGAGUCCUUUAAACACCUUUACACACUUGUCCAUGUUUCUUAAAGUAACUGAGAAAAACAUCGCGCUAAGGGCAUUAAUGAGAAAUUCACGGUUGGGCCCUGAAAGACAGGAUUCCGCUGCUGGCGUACUGCUAACAGACCUGGAUAACGGGGUCAUCUGUUCAUUUUACUAUCUAGUUCAUCAUCCACAUGUGCACUUUUAAUUGAAACUUAACUUUUAUAUCCGAUGUUCCAGCACAGAAAACAUCUCUGGAGGUGGAGGUGGUAUAAGCGUUUCCCUAAGCGACUCUCUAAAAGAAUUCUACCUUCAAUUUUCUGUUGAGUUAAAUAAACAAACUGUGACGCACUUGCCUUUUCACCUCCACUCCCCCAUUUCGGCUCCUUCUGGGCAGGUUCUGGGGUGACCAAGCAGAGCCUCUUCAAAACCCUAGUUCAGCCCAGAGUCACCUCCAAAGGCUUGUUCAUCGACCUUUCCCCAGCUAAGCUGCCACUCACCACCAAACUCUCCCAAGGAGAGGGAGAGGGGAGUAAAUGUUAAGUCUACCUAACUCAUUUCAUAAGUGACCUCUGAAAGAUUUCAACGCAGAGCCUGGGAAAGACAAGGCGGCUUUAUUAGCAUGCUGAACCACGGCCGCAGCCCCCUCCCCUCCCUCUUUUAUGAGCCCUUGUUAUAUAAAAUGCCACAAAGGGAAAUGGAAAAACAACACCCUUGCAGUUAAAAACACAAGUUCCAAUGGCCAGGCCAAAUCCUGGCUGCUUACCCAAUGUUGUUUAGUCAUUUAAAAGGGAAACAUUUCUAAAAGGCCGGAGAAAAAAAGUUUUCCUUGUUUUCUUUCUUUUUAAACACACACUCACACACACAAAAAGAUGGAGGUCAGUUCGCAAGCAAGCCUCCUUCCCGGAGUUCAAAUUUAAAGGCAAAGGCAGCCCGGAGUCGGAGAGCUCCUUCCCGAAGCUGCUGCAACCUUCAAACAGGAUUUUCAAAUGUUUCUUUCGGCUUAUCUAAAUUCCGGCAUGACAGAUAAUAAAUAGCGACUCAUUUACUAUCAUCA